This is an RNA transcript of Octopus sinensis (East Asian common octopus), 3353 nucleotides long. It is a transcript of the gene named cryptochrome-1, with no coding region annotated. NCBI's taxonomy places the organism in Eukaryota, Metazoa, Mollusca, Cephalopoda, Octopoda, Octopodidae. The transcript has 13 exons. The record is from RefSeq and is a predicted model, not a curated record.
ACGAUGCAACGUGACUUUCACUAAGUCACGUGCUGCCAACCGACGAAUCGCGUCGCUCCCUUUCCCUCACUCCGCCAACAGAGUCGCGCUUUUGCUUUCUCUUUUUUUCAAAGAACAUUACCGCAUACUUCAUGUCGUUUAGGGUGCUUCAUCACUAUCAUCGCUUCCUACACUAACUCAAUGGUUUCAUAUUAGACUCAAUUAUUCAUUCCUGACCACCGCAGACAUUAUACAAACAACAUACAACGUGCGUGAAUGUAUGAAUGAAGGCUGCAAGUCUAAGCGAUAGCAAGAAGGCAACCGAAAAGCAAGUGCGACGUUGGAUAUAUUGCAUUAUAUUCGGUUUUAGGAUUAAUUUUUUCCCCUUUCAAAUAAGCAGCCAAAUCACAUCAACAAUGAGGCGUUUACUACAUAAUACAAUCGGUGACCAGUCUGGGACAUAAAGAAUAUUCGCUUUGGAUUAUACUUUUAUUCACAAUCCUAAUUCUUUAUAUCCAUUGGAAUACUUGAUCGUUGUUGUUUUCGUGUUCAUCUCUCUUUCUAUCUAAAUUCCCUGCACAAUCAAUAUACACCGCAUUAUUAUCUAUUUAUUUUAUAUAAAUCUCAUAUACCGUCUACAGCAAGUGUUCAAUUACACAUAUAUAUAUACACAUCUAUAUCUUACAUAAAAAAUCCAUCAUCUCAAUUAUGUCUAAUGAAUCGGGUAAACAUGUCAUUCAUUGGUUUCGCAAAGGGUUGCGCCUUCACGACAACCCGGCGCUAAUGGAAGCUUUGAAGGGUGCCACAACUCUUCGAUGUAUUUACACAUUGGACCCAUGGUUUGCUGGAUCCUCGCAAGUUGGAAUUAACAAAUGGGGAUUUCUAUUGAAUUGCCUGGAAGAUUUGGAUGAUUCAUUACGGAAAUUAAAUUCCCGUUUGUUUGUAAUCCGUGGACAACCUGCUAAUAUGUUUCCUCAGCUAUUUAAAGAAUGGAAUAUCAACACACUAUCGUUUGAAGAUGAUCCUGAGCCAUUUGGAAAAGACCGUGAUAAUGCCAUCUGUACGUUAGCGAGAGAGGCUGGUGUUGAGGUGAUCAUUAGAACCUGCCACACAUUAUAUGAAUCUCAAAAGAUCCUCGAUUUAAAUGGAGGUCGACCACCUUUAACAUACAACAAAUUUCAGAAAAUUCUAGAAAAUAUGAAAAUGCCACCAAAACCAUUAGAUAUUAUUACUGCCAAUGAUUGGGGAAAUUGUCAAACACCUCUUUCAAGUGAUCAUGAUGACAAAUAUGGAGUUCCAACAUUAGAAGAUCUUGGGUUUGACACAGAAGGCCUUGAUUUGGCACAUUUUCAUGGUGGAGAAUCAGAAGCAUUAGCAAGACUAGACAGACAUUUAGAACGCAAGGCAUGGGUUGCUAGUUUUGAAAAACCCAAAAUGACACCUCAAUCUAUGUUUCCCAGUCACACAGCUUUAAGUCCUUAUUUACGAUUUAGUUGUCUAUCUCCACGGUUAUUUUAUUGGAAACUCACAGAACUCUACAGAAAAAUCAAAAAGAAAAAUAUACCACCUCUUUCACUUCAUGGUCAACUUCUCUGGAGAGAAUUCUUCUAUACAGUUGCCUCAAACAAUCCUAGAUUUGAUCAGAUGCUGGGAAAUCCAGUCUGUGUACAGAUUCCUUGGGACACAAAUCAAGAAGCAUUAGCCAAAUGGGCAGAGGGUAUGACAGGUUUUCCUUGGAUUGAUGCCAUCAUGAAACAGUUACGGAAAGAAGGCUGGAUUCAUCAUUUAGCUCGACACUCGGUUGCUUGUUUCCUAACUCGCGGAGAUCUUUGGUUAUCAUGGGAAGAAGGCAUGAAAGUAUUUGAUGAACUCCUGCUUGAUGCUGACUGGAGUGUCAAUGCUGGAAUGUGGAUGUGGCUGUCUUGUAGUUCCUUCUUUCAACAGUUUUUCCAUUGCUAUUGUCCUGUUGGAUUCGGCAAAAGAAUAGAUCCAAAUGGUGAUUUCAUCAGACACUACUUACCUAUUUUGAAACGUUUCCCAGCAAAAUACAUCUACGAACCUUGGAAUGCUCCUGAAAGUGUUCAGAAGACUGCUAAAUGUAUUGUUGGAAAAGACUAUCCUAUACCAAUGGUGACUCAUUCUGAAGUAAGUCGGAUAAAUAUGGAGCGAAUGCGUCAAGUAUACCACAGACUAACAAUGAGAACGCCAGUAAUCUCAAAACCAAUCCACUCCAGAGAAAAUUUAACUUAUUCCAAAAUUCAUCAUAACUAUCCAAUGGUACAACAUAAUGUGCAUUCAAGACCUGUUCUUUUAAGUCAAAAUUGAAAAUACUGGAAAAUAUAAACUAUACACAACACCUUAAAAAAAAAAUAAAAUUCAAUAUUCUGCAACUGAAAAAAAUCAAUUAAAAAAAAUUUUUAACCCAAAAUAAAAAAUGUUUACCAUAGAAAUCCCACAACUAAUGGAAUAUUACUGAUGGGAUUGAACUGCAAUUCUGCUGCAUCAAAUAGAAAAGAAGUCACUCAAGAUAUUUAAUUCCUUAACACACUGCCCUUAAUCCCACCCCAAAUUUCCUUCCCACCUUUUCCAUCUAAAAAAACAACAAUAACAGACACAUUUUAAUUAUUUUGCAUUUCAUUGUAAAUAUUUUACUGGGGUCUAGAUAUGAGUAUUCGUAUCGAACAAACUUUUAAGGACCAAACAAAAAAAAAAAAACAAUCAAAGAAAAAGUAUAAUUUGUAUUUCUGAAAUGAGCAGAAUUUAAUAAUUAAUAUGGUUAUUAGUUAACCUCGUAUUUUGGUACUGUUUUCACCACACUGCAUUUUGAAUUUGAUAAAAUCUACAUUCAUCUUCUGACGAUAUGCAUAUAACCAGAUAUGUCACCAUAUAUGUAUGUGUGUAUGUAUAUGUGUAUGUAUGUGUGUGUAUAUAUAUAUGUGUGUGUGUGUGUAUGUAUGUAUGUAUAUAUAUAUGUGUGUAUGUAUGUGUGUAUGUAUGUAUAUAUAUAUAUAUGUGUGUGUGUAUACAUGUAUAUGUAUCUAUAUAUAUGUGUGUGUUUAUAUAUAAUUGGAAUCUGCAACUUCAACAAUUGUUCUGAAUUUCUCAUGUUCCAAUCUUGAGACAGUAACCAAGAUUAAAAAUGAAAGAAAUGGAAAUGUUCUAAUUUCUAAUACAGCAUCUAAAAAAAGAAAAAAAAAAAAGAGAAAAAUACAAAACAAAAAAAAAAUUUCUACUGGUCAGAAAGUUUGGUCGAAAUCUAGUCUGGAAUUGUAAAAGGACAAGAAAGUAAGUUAACGAUCACAUCGAGAAAAAAAGAAAAAAAAACCCCAAAAAUGAACCCAAAUCCCACCCCAACAAAAACAAAAAAAAAAUCA